This 255-nucleotide ribosomal RNA is filed under the name uncultured bacterium. RNAcentral describes it as "partial 16S ribosomal RNA". It matches the Rfam family "Bacterial small subunit ribosomal RNA", at positions 1245 to 1500 of the family's 1533-position model. The record is from RNAcentral.
AGAAGCAAUACCGCGAGGUGGAGCAAAACUUCAAAAAUGGUCUCAGUUCUGACUGUAGGCUGCAACUCGCCUACACGAAGUUGGAAUUGCUAGUAAUCGUGGAUCAGCAUGCCACGGUGAAUACGUUCCCGGGUCUUGUACACACCGCCCGUCACACCAUGGGAGCUGGUAACACCCGAAGUCAGUAGUCUAACCGCAAGGAGGACGCUGCCGAAGGUGGGAUUAGCGACUGGGGUGAAGUCGUAACAAGGUAGC